This 148-nucleotide non-coding RNA is filed under the name Pan paniscus (pygmy chimpanzee). The record is from Rfam by way of RNAcentral. Lineage: Eukaryota; Metazoa; Chordata; Mammalia; Primates; Hominidae. RNAcentral also lists the same sequence under 1 other name.
GCCGGGUGUGGUGGUGCACACCUGUAAUCUCAGCUACUCAGGAGGCUGAGGCAGGAGAAUUGCUUGAACCCAGGAGGUGGAGGUUGCAGUGAGUUGAGAUCAAGCCACUACACUCCAGCCUGGGCGACAGAGUAAGACUCUGCCUCAA